GGGUAUAUAGCUCAGUAGUGGAGCACAUGCUUAGCAUGCAUGAGGGCCUCGAUUCACUCCCCAGUACCUCCA
This 72-nucleotide transfer RNA is filed under the name Camelus bactrianus (Bactrian camel). It matches the Rfam family "tRNA". From Rfam's summary of the family: Transfer RNA (tRNA) molecules are approximately 80 nucleotides in length. Their secondary structure includes four short double-helical elements and three loops (D, anti-codon, and T loops). Further hydrogen bonds mediate the characteristic L-shaped molecular structure. tRNAs have two regions of fundamental functional importance: the anti-codon, which is responsible for specific mRNA codon recognition, and the 3' end, to which the tRNAs corresponding amino acid is attached (by aminoacyl-tRNA synthetases). tRNAs cope with the degeneracy of the genetic code in two manners: having more than one tRNA (with a specific anti-codon) for a particular amino acid; and 'wobble' base-pairing, i.e. permitting non-standard base-pairing at the 3rd anti-codon position. RNAcentral also lists the same sequence under 2 other names. Lineage: Eukaryota; Metazoa; Chordata; Mammalia; Artiodactyla; Camelidae. The record is from Rfam by way of RNAcentral.